GAAACUGGGUCUAAUACCGGAUAUGACCAACUGUCGCAUGGUGGUUGGUGGAAAGCUUUUGCGGUGUGGGAUGGGCCCGCGGCCUAUCAGCUUGUUGGUGGGGUAAUGGCCUACCAAGGCGACGACGGGUAGCCGACCUGAGAGGGUGAUCGGCCACACUGGGACUGAGACACGGCCCAGACUCCUACGGGAGGCAGCAGUGGGGAAUAUUGCACAAUGGGCGGAAGCCUGAUGCAGCGACGCCGCGUGAGGGAUGACGGCCUUCGGGUUGUAAACCUCUUUCACCAGGGACGAAGCGUGAGUGACGGUACCUGGAGAAGAAGCACCGGCCAACUACGUGCCAUCAGCCGCGGUAAUACGUAGGGUGCGAGCGUUGUCCGGAAUUACUGGGCGUAAAGAGC
This 401-nucleotide ribosomal RNA is filed under the name Gordonia sp. hata22. RNAcentral's name for it is "bacterial SSU rRNA". It matches the Rfam family "Bacterial small subunit ribosomal RNA", at positions 153 to 568 of the family's 1533-position model. The record is from RNAcentral. Lineage: Bacteria; Bacillati; Actinomycetota; Actinomycetes; Mycobacteriales; Gordoniaceae.